GGACCAUCGGCAGACUGGCAAAUCUUUCCACAAGGAAGUAGAAGGAACUAUUUUUAUUGAAUUCUAGAACAUUAGAUCCUGAGAGAACUUAUAGAUUUUAUAAACCACACCCCUUCCCCAACAUUUUACAAAUGAAGAAACUGAGGCCCAGAGAACCUAACGUGAUGUCACACGGCUGAUUAAUUAAUGGCCAGGGAAAAACUGGAAAUGUAAUUCUCUUUUCCGCUUUUUAGCAACAACUUUGUUAAUGGCACUUAUUCUAUAUUUGUCCCCAAACUAUUACUCUAGGUGGACCAGGGAAGUUUGUUCAGUUGCUCUGAAAUUGAAAACGCAGGUUGUGUAAUAUUUCCAAAACCCCAGUAAGAGGAUGUCAGAGGGAGGACCACGAGCUGCGGAUUGUCUGUGCCUGACCUAGGAGCCCCGGCCCGCACAGGUAAGGAGAGUAAGCUUUCAUUGGAUCCCAAGUAGUCUUCCUUGGGUGAUAACUUUGUCUUUCUAUCAUGUAACCAGUAGCUGCCAAAUUGUGUGUGUGCGUGUUUAGGGAGAAGAACCAAGGCAUGUCUCUGAUGUUGUCACAGCCCAGUGUCACCCAAAAGUCACUGUGCUCCCAUCAUCCCCAGUUCCCAGUUGAGUGGGUCCCAGCUACAUUUCCCAUGGACAUCCGUCGGGCCCAUGUGAAGAGCUAUUUCAGAGACAGAGUGUUCUAAAUCAGGAAGGCAAGUGGGCCCAUGAGAGGAGGCCACCUAAGUGGGGUGGUCCAGUAGGAGUUGAUGCCUCUCUAAAGAGGGUAUCUGAGUAGGGCAGUGGCCUGGCAGAAGAUUGAACAAAUAACCAGAUAUAUUGAGGGUAACAGGAGCCGUGUUUUCCCAUUGUCAGAGAAGGGAGGUGUACGUUUGUGAAGGGGAAAAACUAGAACAAACCCUGUGGUGUUGGAUUGGAAUGGCAGGAUUGUUGUAUCAUUCUUACAAAUUUUCUGUAAGUGUAAAAUUGUUUUGAAAGAAAAGAAAAAUGUACAGCUAUCAGGACACUACAUAGCCAUAAAAAAUAAUGUUGUUGUUAAAAAAGGACAAAGUUGUCCCAUUCACAACAACAUGGAUGGCCCUUGAGGGUAUUAUGUUGAGUGAAAUAAGCCAGACAGAGAAAGACGAACUCUGUAUGACUCCAUUCAUAGGUGGUAGUUAACAUAUGGACAAAGAGAACUGAUCGG
RNAcentral lists this long non-coding RNA (1207 nucleotides) under Equus caballus (horse). RNAcentral's name for it is "lncRNA (ENSECAG00000051722.1)". Lineage: Eukaryota; Metazoa; Chordata; Mammalia; Perissodactyla; Equidae. The record is from RNAcentral.